GCAAAUGACAUGAAUGUUAACAGUUUAUCAUAGAAUUAAUUAAGAAUCAUUCUAGAACUCAAAACACAUUUGUAUAAUCUUCCCACUCCCAUGACUCCAGCCACUAUGUCUAACAAUCUAGAAAACUAACUCUCGUUGAAACUAAGAGAUUAGACACGCAUUAAGUUCGAGUUUCGAUAGGUUCACAAAGUGCAGUAACAUCAACUCAUGUUGGAUAAGGACACGUUGCUCACAGAGAUUAUGUUCAAGAAAUCAAAUCAACUCCUGAUGCAUAAAUUCAGUUAACCUAAGAUCGUGAACUAGGUAAUAAAUCCAAUUCAAUCGUUAAAAUAGUCAACGUGAAGAACUCUAAUAAAGAUUCUC
Molecule: long non-coding RNA, 363 nt
Filed under: Brassica napus (rape)
Lineage: Eukaryota; Viridiplantae; Streptophyta; Magnoliopsida; Brassicales; Brassicaceae
Description: long non-coding RNA (BNAP_LNC006487)
Source: RNAcentral